Non-coding RNA from Python bivittatus (Burmese python), 292 nucleotides. The record is from RefSeq and is a predicted model, not a curated record. NCBI's taxonomy places the organism in Eukaryota, Metazoa, Chordata, Lepidosauria, Squamata, Pythonidae.
CUGUCAUAAUGGAAUACGAAUGGAUGGGCAUUUCCGGAGAGUCAUGACUCGGAGGCCGGUUUAUCUGCAAAAAUAUGAGCAGCAAAGAUUUCUGUGAAAAUGCACCAUUCUGUGGAAAUGCACCAUUCUGUGAAAAUGCACAAUAUCCGUGAAAAUGCACCAGGGCUGCCUCUACACCAACAUCAGGUGCACUCUGGGAAAUAAAAGUGAUUUCCAUAUCCUGGGAGAAGAAGGGCCCUACAAACCUCAGAUGAGAUUGCUUUCAUUGGAUCCCAACAGUGCCAGGACCAAA